CCUUAGCGCGGUGGUCCCACCUGACCCCAUGCCGAACUCAGAAGUGAAACGCCGUAGCGCCGAUGGUAGUGUGGGGUUUCCCCAUGCGAGAGUAGGGAACUGCCAGGC
RNAcentral lists this ribosomal RNA (108 nucleotides) under Escherichia coli. Lineage: Bacteria; Pseudomonadati; Pseudomonadota; Gammaproteobacteria; Enterobacterales; Enterobacteriaceae. The record is from RNAcentral.